UACGGAGGGUGCAAGCGUUAUUCGGAAUUACUGGGCGUAAAGCGCACGCAGGCGGUCUUGCAAGUCGGAUGUGAAAUCCCCGGGCUCAACCCGGGAACUGCAUUCGAAACUGGCAGACUAGAGUCUUGUAGAGGGGGGUGGAAUUCCAGGUGUAGCGGUGAAAUGCGUAGAGAUCUGGAGGAAUACCGGUGGCGAAGGCGGCUCCCUGGACAAAGACUGACGCUGAGGUGCGAAAGCGUGGGGAGCAAACAGG
This 253-nucleotide ribosomal RNA is filed under the name uncultured bacterium. RNAcentral's name for it is "partial 16S ribosomal RNA". It matches the Rfam family "Bacterial small subunit ribosomal RNA", at positions 524 to 776 of the family's 1533-position model. The record is from RNAcentral.